Molecule: unclassified non-coding RNA, 246 nt
Filed under: uncultured fungus
Lineage: Eukaryota; Fungi
Also listed under: 1 other name
Description: partial contains 5.8S ribosomal RNA, internal transcribed spacer 2, and large subunit ribosomal RNA
Source: RNAcentral
AACGCACAUUGCGCCCCUUGGUAUUCCGGGGGGCAUGCCUGUUCGAGCGUCAUUUCAACCCUCAAGCUCAGCUUGGUAUUGGGCCUCCGCCGGUCACCCGGCGGGCCUUAAAGUCAGUGGCGGCGCCGUUGGGUCCUGAACGUAGUAACAUACAUCUCGUUACAGGGUCCCCGCGUGCUUCUGCCAUUAAACCCCCAAUUUUCUAUGGUUGACCUCGGAUCAGGUAGGGAUACCCGCUGAACUUAA